RNAcentral lists this ribosomal RNA (587 nucleotides) under uncultured bacterium. RNAcentral describes it as "bacterial SSU rRNA". It matches the Rfam family "Bacterial small subunit ribosomal RNA", at positions 337 to 916 of the family's 1533-position model. The record is from RNAcentral.
UCCUACGGGAGGCAGCAGUGGGGAAUAUUGGACAAUGGGGGCAACCCUGAUCCAGCCAUGCCGCGUGUGUGAAGAAGGCCCUCGGGUUGUAAAGCACUUUCAGCGAGGAAGAACGCCUAGCGGUUAAUACCCGCUAGGAAAGACAUCACUCGCAGAAGAAGCACCGGCUAACUCCGUGCCAGCAGCCGCGGUAAUACGGAGGGUGCAAGCGUUAAUCGGAAUUACUGGGCGUAAAGCGCGCGUAGGUGGCUUGAUAAGCCGGUUGUGAAAGCCCCGGGCUCAACCUGGGAACGGCAUCCGGAACUGUCAAGCUAGAGUGCAGGAGAGGAAGGUAGAAUUCCCGGUGUAGCGGUGAAAUGCUUAGAGAUCGGGAGGAAUACCAGUGGCGAAGGCGGCCUUCUGGACUGACACUGACACUGAGGUGCGAAAGCGUGGGUAGCAAACAGGAUUAGAUACCCUGGUAGUCCACGCCGUAAACGAUGUCGACCAGCCGUUGGGUGCCUAGCGCACUUUGUGGCGAAGUUAACGCGAUAAGUCGACCGCCUGGGGAGUACGGCCGCAAGGUUAAAACUCAAAUGAAUUGACGG